Molecule: non-coding RNA, 119 nt
Organism: Herpetomonas megaseliae
Lineage: Eukaryota; Euglenozoa; Kinetoplastea; Trypanosomatida; Trypanosomatidae
Source: Rfam
AGGUACGUUCAUACUUUGCUGAAUACACCAUAUCCCGUCCGAUUUGUGAAGUUAAGCAGCUAUAGGCCACGUUAGUACUAAGGUUAGUGAUAACUUGGGAACCCGCGGUGAUGUACCUC